This is a long non-coding RNA of Lagenorhynchus albirostris (white-beaked dolphin), 697 nucleotides long. RefSeq lists it as uncharacterized. The record is from RefSeq and is a predicted model, not a curated record. The transcript has 5 exons. NCBI's taxonomy places the organism in Eukaryota, Metazoa, Chordata, Mammalia, Artiodactyla, Delphinidae.
AACGAACAGGAGUGGGGACACAGCUGCAGAGGGCUUCCCGAGCUGAACCAUCUCUGGGCUCCUGCCGUCCCUGUGGUCCCCGACAUGGGCUUGGGGCCUGGGGUCAGCAGCUGCAGAUAUGCAGAUGAUCAAACACAGAGCCUCAACCCUUUCUUUCCUGCCGCAGCAGUGAGGGCUGCAAGCCACGCCCAUCGAUGAAGCAGCAGAAGCAAGAGAGGUUAAGAGACCUUGGCACGGCCCAGAGAAAGCACAGCUCAGGGAAACCGCCGGGUGACUGCCGGAGCCUGGAUCCAGCCAUGCCUGAAGACAGUGCAGCUUCUGUGAGAUGAGGAGAUUCUCUUCUUGUUUCAGUUGCCAGGAACCGUGCUUUCUCGCCCUCCUCUACUGCCACGACCUGGUCAGGUGAUCUAGAACCUGCCAGUGGGACACACCUUCAUGAGUUUGAUUCAGAAGAGAGGCAGAGAGACCUUGUGCUUUGGCGCCUGCAGUGGCAGAAGCCUGGGGCCCGGGGCCCGGGGCCCGGGGGGUGACUCUGGAGCCUUGUCCCCUCCUGCGGUGCUGUUGUGAGAACAGAUGAGGAAACUGGACUUGGAAUGAAUGUUUUGGUGCCUCCACCGUGAACCCCUCACCCGCUGAGGGCAGAGCCGGGACCCUGUCUGCUCCGCCGCCCAGUCGGAGCCCCUGUGAUGGGGGUCAG